This 253-nucleotide ribosomal RNA is filed under the name uncultured bacterium. Its description in RNAcentral is "partial 16S ribosomal RNA". It matches the Rfam family "Bacterial small subunit ribosomal RNA", at positions 524 to 776 of the family's 1533-position model. The record is from RNAcentral.
UACGUAGGGGGCUAGCGUUGUCCGGAAUCAUUGGGCGUAAAGCGCGUGUAGGCGGCCCGGUAAGUCCGCUGUGAAAGUCGGGGGCUCAACCCUCGGAUGCCGGUGGAUACUGUCGGGCUAGAGUACGGAAGAGGCGAGUGGAAUUCCUGGUGUAGCGGUGAAAUGCGCAGAUAUCAGGAGGAACACCAAUGGCGAAGGCAGCACUCUGGGACGUGACUGACGCUGAGACGCGAAAGCGUGGGGAGCAAACAGG